Long non-coding RNA from Coccinella septempunctata (seven-spotted ladybird), 384 nucleotides. RefSeq lists it as uncharacterized. NCBI's taxonomy places the organism in Eukaryota, Metazoa, Arthropoda, Insecta, Coleoptera, Coccinellidae. The record is from RefSeq and is a predicted model, not a curated record. The transcript has 2 exons.
GUUAGUAUUGUAUUUCGAGAGUCGAUUUCCUUCAGUUAUCGGUACAUAUUCAAUACGGUCGGGCCGAGUGUGUGUGUGUUUUUUACAAUGACAGCUAUAAAGAGAUCGACCUCAUCACCUUAUAUUCCUUUUCCUAUUCAAUUUCCAUUAUUACUUUCGAUGGAAUCUAAGCAGAACACUACUGACAAGAGUGUAGAAAAUGAAACUACCCUCUAGUGCAACAGUUUCGUCAACAUUUGGUUAUGAUAAAUUAAAAAUCUUGUCGAACUUAAUCAUUUUAGAUGCUUGUUUUCAACUUUUCGUGCUUUUAAUUAUCAUUUCUUUUUGGUUUGGAAUGGUGCUAUCUUAGAUUUUUCAUGAUCGGUGAUGUUAUUUUUGAAAUUA